GUGGGGAAUCUUGCGCAAUGGGCGAAAGCCUGACGCAGCCAUGCCGCGUGAAUGAUGAAGGUCUUAGGAUUGUAAAAUUCUUUCACCGGGGACGAUAAUGACGGUACCCGGAGAAGAAGCUCCGGCUAACUUCGUGCCAGCAGCCGCGGUAAUACGAAGGGGGCUAGCGUUGCUCGGAAUUACUGGGCGUAAAGGGCGCGUAGGCGGACAGCUUAGUCAGAGGUGAAAGCCCAGGGCUCAACCUUGGAAUUGCCUUUGAUACUGGCUGUCUUGAGUUUGGGAGAGGUGAGUGGAACUCCGAGUGUAGAGGUGAAAUUCGUAGAUAUUCGGAAGAACACCAGUGGCGAAGGCGACUCACUGGCCCAAUACUGACGCUGAGGUGCGAAAGCGUGGGGAGCAAACAGGAUUAGAAACCCGUGUAGUCC
Molecule: ribosomal RNA, 425 nt
Filed under: uncultured bacterium
Lineage: Bacteria
Description: partial 16S ribosomal RNA
Rfam family: Bacterial small subunit ribosomal RNA
Source: RNAcentral